Molecule: long non-coding RNA, 472 nt
Filed under: Hordeum vulgare
Lineage: Eukaryota; Viridiplantae; Streptophyta; Magnoliopsida; Poales; Poaceae
Description: long non-coding RNA (HVUL_LNC008046)
Source: RNAcentral
AUUUCUUGACAGAGCUGGCUACUAUUUUUUUUCUUUUUUGUCCAACUCUAGCCGUUAUGGUUUGGUAAUUAACGAAUCCUUCUGACCACUUACGGGAAGGAAUAGAAGAUUGAGAUCUAGUUCUGAAUGAUGAAUGUGGUAUAGUGAAAUGGCAGUAAUUAAGAGAUGAUUUGGGAGGAUGUCUUUUUAUGACUUGAAAAUGGUCUAAUUUUUUUGUUCCCCAACAAAAGUGGUUGUCCAUAUACCUCUGAUACUUUUCAAUAGUCCUUUUGUUGGAUAAUGGUCCACCAUUUUUGUACUAAGUGUUCUGCUAACUCACCUUCCAAGUGUACUACUAGCUCACCUUCACCGGGCAUCCAAGGAAGCUUCUUCGAGUAUGUAUUCCUUCAGAAGCAACACAUUUUUCGGGCCUAAAUUUGUGCAACAUGCAUUUGGGCACAUCAUACACUACUGAUCCGUAGUAUAGGGGCUC